CCCUUAGAUGUUCUGGGCCGCACGCGCGCUACACUGACGAAGUCAGCGAGCAUGUCCUACGCCGACAGGUGCGGGGAAUCUUGUCAAACUUCGUCGUGAUGGGGAUUGAUUUUUGAAAUUCUUGAUCAUAAACGAGGAAUUCCUAGUAAGCGCAAGUCAGCAGCUUGCGUUGAUUACGUCCCUGCCCUUUGUACACACCGCCCGUCGCUACUACCGAUUGAAUGAUUUAGUGAGAUCUUCGGAUUGGCGCCACUGCAGCUCAGCAAUGGGCUUGGUGGAUGCCGAAAAGUUGAUCAAACUUGAUCAUUUAGAGGAAGUAAAAGUCGUAACA
Molecule: ribosomal RNA, 331 nt
Filed under: uncultured eukaryote
Lineage: Eukaryota
Description: partial 18S ribosomal RNA
Rfam family: Eukaryotic small subunit ribosomal RNA
Source: RNAcentral